AACUACUGCAGGAGGCAAUUCUCAUAAGUCACAGGGCUACACAUUCCUGAAAGUUCCAAACUGACCUGGGAUUUGUGCUGAAAUUUUUAAAUAGAGUUGGUUUUCUGCUGUGUCCUUAUAUCACAUUCUCAUGGAAGUUUGUAAAACCAUUUUUACCACCAAAUUCCAGUAGAUCUGGAAGAUACAAACCUAAAAGCAUGAUCACCUUUAUGGCAAUAGCAAGGUUGAGUGCGUACAAAACAGCUGGAAGAAAAGGGUAGGAAGCAGAUCUUGGAGGAAAUAAAAAUUCAGGAGUGAACCUGAAUGUGAGCUGGGCUGUAUAGUUCACAGAUUAACUCCUGUACCCAGCUCGAAGUAAUUGAUACCUUGUACUGCUCGUAUUCAAGAACAACACUAUCCUAGAUCCAUUUUUAACUUUACAUUGGCUUUUGUACUAUACUCACAUUGUACUCAUUACAUUAUUCCAUUACAGUGUUGUAAAACUGUAGGCGAUACUGAAUGAGCUUUAUUAACUUUCAGAGAGAGCACUUCAGUACAGAGUACUACAUCUGUAUUACUGUGAUUAUCAGCCAAUUGUACUAAUCCAGCAAUUAUAAACGCACGUACUAGAAAGGAGAAAUUACUCUCAUCUCAAGACAUGAAUGGUGUAAUUCCUUACUGUGCAGAGCCCCACUGAGGGCAUGAGCACCUGAACCACGAAGCACUCUCAACUGACAUUGAACUCAGUGAGAGUUAAGAGUACUUGGCAUACCACAGCAUUGGACUUCAAGUGUCUCAUGUGAACCACUGUGUAAAAUGUCACUGUGCAUUUGCAUGUUCUUUUUAUAAACGUAGUGAUGUCAGCGUGUCAUACAUCAUUAACAAAUGUGAAUUUACCUGAACCAGCCAAGGUGUUUUGAAGACAAGGUCAAGAAAUGGAGGCAGUAUCUUGAAGAAUAACAAGACAACAGAUACGCCAUAAAGAGGAAUGUUAAGGCGUGUGUCAUUUGAGCAAAAGCUCGCACACCUAAUGCUGAUUAAUUCUGCUGGACUGGGUAACUGGCUCCCCUGUGGAUAUCCUGUUUUCCUGUGAAUCAUUGUUCCUCCUUGAGACAUCCUCCAACUCAGAUCAAAGAUCCAAAAAGUAUUAGAUAUGAAGACAUCAGACAUCUCAAACAGAUUAGAAAAGACACGCACAAAGAAAUGCAUCCCAUCUUCUCUCUGAAAUAGGCGUGGUGAACACAAUCCUACACACUUACUAUAAAAUGAACAGUAGAAAGACAAAAGAACAAAGGAGAAUUUUGAAAUUUAGUUUACCCAGAGUCUUCUACAAAUUACCCUUUCUAUGUAUUUGCACUUUUGUACUCAGUUCUCUCUUGCAGUUGGAAACUCUUCAGGCUAGUCAUCUGAUGGAAAAUGACAUCUGUAAGCUUCGGCAAGAGCUGCAUGAACUGCGUCAGCAGAGGACUUAGUACUAUCAAUUUAAAUGUUGAGUCUUGCCUACAAACACACAAAUUAAAGGAACAUGAAAACACA
Long non-coding RNA from Neopsephotus bourkii (Bourke's parrot), 1515 nucleotides. RefSeq lists it as uncharacterized. Lineage: Eukaryota; Metazoa; Chordata; Aves; Psittaciformes; Psittacidae. The transcript is spliced from 3 exons. The record is from RefSeq and is a predicted model, not a curated record.